UUAUUAUUAUUAUUAUUAUUGCCAAUUUCAAAGAGUUUUCUGGUAAUUGACGUCCAUUUAGCUUUAAGCUGUUCUGGUUGUUGACUUGCUAUGCUUUGCACCAGCCUUUAGUCUGUUGUCUAGGGAUAGAUAAGUGAACCUACUCUAUGCAUACCUCAAUACUGACCGUAAUACUUUGUUCUCCUCACAAGUUUUCAAAUUUUUAUGAUUUGAAUGAUUUCAUGGUGGAAAAUUAACAAAAAAGGUUAUGUCUUGUGUGUGUAUAAAUAUAUAGUGCAUACAUCCAAUGCUGCAGAUCCCUCUUUUGUUAAAGUCUUAUUCUGCUUUUGUUAAUCACUCUGUUUUCUGCCUUUUACUUUUUACUGACUUGAGAUGUGAUCCUUUUACCAUCAUGUGGACAAGGGGGAUGAUAAUCUUUCUGAUUCUUUUUAUUGAUUUUGAGACUCAAUUUCAAUGAUCAAAUGAACUUCUUUUCUAUUGGAUUGUUUGGCCACUUAUUUUUGGUUGUUAUGAUAGCCAACUACAUGUUCAAGUAAGUUGUGUUUUUUGUUGUCACUUGAUCUCAGUUGGAUGGUAUUUUGCUCAACCUGACUUUUAUCUAUAUCUGCCUUUGAUGUAGCCUCAGUUGUCACCAGAACUGGGAGAUAUUCCACGGAGUAACUUCCAGUUUGAUUUUGAGUUUGAGCGAAAAAUUUUGGCUGAAGCUGAGAAGGAAACCCAGAACUGGAGCAGGCUUGGGUUGGAAAAUCUUCCAUCUAAACCAACAGAAUCAGCUUCUUCAUUGGUAUGCUAUUUAUGUUGUUCUAUUUGGUUGUUUUUUUUUAAUUUAUUUUGGUGAUGGAGGUUGGAACUGCGGAUCGAACACAUUGGGAGCAUUUUUAGACUCAGGUAUUUGGUGAUGGCAUGGCAAUGAAACAUGACAGUAUCUGGUGCUUGCUUGUGUGAUGAGACCAAUCACUUGAAAACCUCUUGAUUUUAAGUAAUUGCUGUCGUGUUUUUAUAACCGUACCUUAUUAUUGACUGAUUUCUUGCAUUCAAGAUAGAAAUCUCUAGGAUAUUAGUUCACAACUUUUUCUUUCCACCGUUGAAUUAUGAAAUGAACAUCAUUUCACAAAAUGCAAAUGCAGGGUUCAACUGUAGAUCCUGUAGUGAGCAAAUAUAUUGCAUCAGGACUCAAUCGAGAAGCUGUUCGUCUUGCUGUUGCUAACUAUGGUGACAAUCCGACUAAGGUUCAGGAAUUUGUCAAUGGCUACACCCUUUUAAGAGAAAUGGGAUUUGCAUCGAACAAUGUUGCUGAAGCUUUACACAUGUACGACAAUGACGCAGACAAGGCAUUGACACAUUUUCUUAACAGCACAUCGUAAACAUACUGGAAACGUGUGGCUGAAUCCUGAAUGAGCGUGGUGUGGUGUGGUGGCAUA
Molecule: unclassified non-coding RNA, 1421 nt
Filed under: Hevea brasiliensis (rubber tree)
Lineage: Eukaryota; Viridiplantae; Streptophyta; Magnoliopsida; Malpighiales; Euphorbiaceae
Source: RNAcentral